CUUCACAAUUUAUGUUCUUCUGCCACGGCUUCAGCCAGUCCCUCCGUUCGGGGUCCCUGUCUUCUCACAACAAGAAUCAAAGCAAAACAACAACUGUCUUAAGACAGUCAUAACCACACAAUUGACAAGGAAAUUUGCUUAUUUCUGUGUCAUACAACAAUUUAACAUAAUAAUCAUAAUUAUUACAAUAUGUAUUAGGACAUAUCAGAAUUUUAGGACUCUCCUACAUUCCUAGAACACAUAUUAACAACACAUCUAUAGAAAUAUAACCCCCAAAAAGUUAAAUACCACCUCACAUUUGACAAUGCUUCCUGUAUAAUUCUAACAUACCAAAUAAAUCUAAUAUGUCUCUUUUGGAAUUCAGGAUACCCAAUAUUUUAAAAAGGUUAUCUCGAGGUUAAAAUACUGAUCUAGAACUUGAAAUUUUUCUGCUGGAAAGUCUGUCAAAAAUCAAAGAUUUAAGACACUUGAGAUCACAAAAUAAGUUCACAAGUUACUAAAAAAUAGUCAUUCAUUUAGCCAAAAUCAUAAUACAAAAAUGUUUACUUUUUGAUAGAGAGGAGACUCAAUUUCCUUAACAAUAAAACCUGAUAAAAACUGCACAGCACCAGCUAAAUCUGUCUUCCCCACUCCUUCUUUUUUUCUUCUACAGUUUUACUCAAAAGGUAAAUAGAAAUCUCUUAUUAUCUCUUACAUGAAAAUUUUGUUCAAAAGAGAAAACCAAAUUUUACCUUUGUAUGUUGUAUUAUUAAUGUCAAAACUAAUUUUAAUAAAACUUUAUAAACAAAUCUAUCUAACUUUAAUCAGUUUGAUCACAAGGUAAGAUUUCCAUGAACUUUUUGUAACUUUUUACAGUUUUCUACUAAAGAGCAGAUUAAUGCUCCAAGAAAACCAUGUUAUUUAGACAUAGAGGUCCAGUUGCUGGCCUUGCAUUAGUGUGCUUUUGAUAUUAAUGUUUAGUUUAUAGAAACACUCUGAGCUAAUCUUAUCCCUCAAAUUCAGCUCUUGCGGUCUCAUGUGCCCACCUCUUCUGUGAUAGUCCCUGGGCCUAGAGGGAUUGAAUAGUUGUUAUUUUAUUUCAUUUCUGCUUUUGUGUCAAUACUCAAGAUUUAGCAGGGAUCAGUGCCUUUUUUCAGACCCAGUGGUCAAAGCCCUGCAACUUAACAGUACAGGGAUUAGUUAAUAGGAUAUUUAUAUUACAGAAAGUCCUAUCAUUCUCUCUAACAUGUCAGAAAUAAAAACACUGUGAUUUGGUGCUCAGGAGUUAUUGCUUGCAGCACUUCAAACCACUGUAUUAAAGUAGUUAAGUUACUCACUACACAUGUCUAAUUGCUGAUACUCUAGUGACAGAGCUGUGACUAAAAGCAUCAAAAGUGUGACAGGUCCUAUGUUAAACUUAUCAAAGCAAGACAACUAACUUGUUUCUCCAUCAUUAAAAACAUAGUAAAUGCAAAUAUUAGUUUUGGAAAUGCAAUAUGAAGACAAAUAAUUUCCUUUCACUUAAAUAUUUUAUAAUGAAACUGAGAUAAAGUAAGAACAAGCAAAGAAUUAAUUUAUUUUCAGCUAUUUAAAAUAGCAUUACAUAAUUCCAAGAUUAGUUUCUAGAUACAGCACUGACAACUUAUUAGAGAACUCUCUGCUGAAAUCUUCAAACUAGUGCAACACUUGUAUUUCUUUGGUUUUCAAGUAUGCACAUGAAGGCUCAUCAGUGAUAAACUGCUUGGGAUCAAAAAUCACUAGACAGAAUCACAUACUUUUUAUUACUACUUAAUCCAAGUGAAUGUCACUUAAUUUUAAUAAUGACUAACACACCUAAGUUAAUUUCAGAGAAAUUUCAAUCAAUAUAACUUCCUUAAGGACAAGGCCAAUCUUUCCUGAACAUUAAAACUUUGUACCCAUUUUAUAGUUUUUCCUCAUUACUUAAAGGAUUAUAUCUGAAACCAACUCAAAUUAUUGAUUGAUUGAAUUACCUUGGAAAUAAACACCAUUUAAACAUUUUAAUUAUCACCAAUCUUUUCAAAUAACAAAAUAAAUAAUGUACUGUUUCUGCUUAAAACUUGUAAAAAUAGUUCAUUUUUUUUAAAACCAGGAACCUUAAAGCUCUUGUGUCUCUCUAGAUCAUCAGAGGUAAGCAAUAGCAACAAGUUUUAAAUGGCUGGUGUAUGAUCAGUAAGUACUUAGUGCUGGUAGCAUCUAUGCAGAAGGCCAAAUACAGUGUGAAAUAAAGCAAUGGAAGCAUUUAUGUUAAAUUUGGCUCCAUGUUAAUCUUCUUUCACUUAAAUAUUUUAUAACAAAACAGGAACAAAGUAAGAACAAACAAACAACUAAUUUAUUGUUAGCUAUUUAAAAGAGUAUCAUCACAUAAUUCCAAGAUUAGUUUCUAGAUACAGUUUGGCUUCAUGCUUAACUGCCAUUGUAUUUCAUUACAAAAUGUAUUAAUUUACCUUCAUCAAGACCAAGAGCUUUAAUUAUGAGCAAUGUUAACUAGCCAAAUUUCUCUAAUUUUCUCUCAGGUUUUAAAGAAUAUUUUACUAUCUAAACUGUUUCAUCUUUAUUUUCUCUGUGUGUGCAUGAAGGGUAGUCAUAUAGAGAAACAGGAAAAAGCUACAUAUGACUUACAUGGACCAUCUAUGACAUGCUUGGGCUUUCUGUUUUGUACUAACUUUUCUUUUCUUUUUAAAAUAAGCAGUCAUUUUAUUUUGGGACAAAAAUUCACCAUACACGAUCCUUUGUCAUACAAAAUUCUUUAUUUUCUUUUUUCUUUU
This 2765-nucleotide long non-coding RNA is filed under the name Homo sapiens (human). RNAcentral's name for it is "HSALNT0162790". The record is from RNAcentral. Lineage: Eukaryota; Metazoa; Chordata; Mammalia; Primates; Hominidae.